GAUGAACGCUAGCGGCAGGCCUAACACAUGCAAGUCGAGGGAGGAGCCUUCGGGCUUCGACCGGCGUACGGGCGCGUAACGCGUAUACAAUCUGCCUUUCACAUAGGGAUAGCCCGAAGAAAUUUGGAUUAAUACCUAAUGGUAUAUAGAUGUGGCAUCACCUUUAUAUUAAAGCUGAGGCGGUGAAAGAUGAGUAUGCGUUCUAUUAGCUAGUUGGAGAGGUAACGGCUCCCCAAGGCGACGAUAGAUAGGGGUUCUGAGAGGGAUAUCCCCCACACUGGUACUGAGAUACGGACCAGACUCCUACGGGAGGCAGCAGUGAGGAAUAUUGGACAAUGGUCGGAAGACUGAUCCAGCCAUGCCGCGUGCAGGAAGACGGCCUUAUGGGUUGUAAACUGCUUUUGCAGGGGAAGAAUAAGGACUACGCGUAGUUUGAUGACGGUACUCUGCGAAUAAGCAUCGGCUAACUCCGUG
Molecule: ribosomal RNA, 474 nt
Filed under: uncultured bacterium
Lineage: Bacteria
Description: partial 16S ribosomal RNA
Rfam family: Bacterial small subunit ribosomal RNA
Source: RNAcentral